UCUCCGUAGGUGAACCUGCGGAGGGAUCAUUACCGAGUGAGGGCGAACCGCCCGACCUCCCACCCUAUGUGAUUAUACCAUGUUGCCUCGGGGGUACGCCCGCGCCUCGCGGCGCCGGUGCCCCCGGUGGACCAACCCAUAACACUGCAUCUUUGCGUCGGAUAUCAAUGAAAAUAAAUAAAAACUUUCAACAACGGAUCUCUUGGUUCUGGCAUCGAUGAAGAACGCAGC
Molecule: unclassified non-coding RNA, 231 nt
Filed under: uncultured fungus
Lineage: Eukaryota; Fungi
Description: sequence contains ITS1, 5.8S rRNA gene
Rfam family: 5.8S ribosomal RNA (bases 183-231)
Source: RNAcentral